Heterocephalus glaber (naked mole-rat) is the source of this 4153-nucleotide non-coding RNA. Lineage: Eukaryota; Metazoa; Chordata; Mammalia; Rodentia; Bathyergidae. The record is from RefSeq and is a predicted model, not a curated record.
CUGAGCUGUGACAGUGAGGAGGCGGAACGCGUGUGCAGAGACAGGGAGAGCUGCUCUCUCCAUGGUGACCGCAGGAAGCAGAGCACAAGAACAAGACGCACUCUUCCGGUGGUGACCAGAAUCCACCUCGUCCUUCCAAGCCCCGCCUUCUGUCAGCCAUUGGGCUGUGAGCUCAGCAGCAGCCUCCAAUCACCUUGCAGAGCCCGCCUCUGAGCAUGCGCGCCUUCAUCCCAGUCAUAAUGCCCCCUAAUCCUUUGUGGAGAAGUCACGCGUGGGGGUCGUUAGGGCACUGCUGGGGCAGAAACUUCUGCUGUGACUGCUUUGCUGACAACAGGGGACAAAUGGAGAGCCUGAGAUACACAACAAGAUAUCUGGAGAGAGAGAGAGACAGAGACAGAGGGGGUUGGGGGAAAGGGAAAGGGAUGAGGGAAAAGAGUAGAAGGAAGGGAGGGAAUGUUUGAUUCUCUACAAGGAGCGUGGACUUGCACAGUGAGGACGUGUGUGUGUGUGUGUGUGUGUGAAAGAGAUAAGUAUAUCUUUUAACCUUAUUCUUCACUUUGCCUUCUGUGUGCAGUAGCUGCUAGAAACUACAGCCAGAGGGAAUGAUGUACCCCAAGGAAACACAGCAGAGGCCGUUUUAAUAAUUUUAAGGUCCUGAUGAUGACAGGAUAAAGAGAGGGGACCUCACAUCCCACCAGCCACUCCAGUGGAAAAAUCCAGCAAGGGAGAAGGGAAAUCAUUUGCUAAGCAGCCAGAAUAAAUCGACAAAUUGCCUGUGAGCCUUCCCCAGAUAGCGCCGUGUUGUCACCGUGAAUUGCAGUGAGCCACGUCAAGAACUGACGUACAUGGCCAUGGAGCGGAACCGAUGACCAUGGUGGAGAGAAUCGCAUUCCUGACGUGGACUGAUCACAGUCCAGACCCUGAGUUAUAGUUGUCAGAUACUACGUCCCAGCCACAGAAGAGUGACCAGUACACCACGUGUUACUCAAAGUGCAACAAAAGAAGGAGGCUUGAGGAAAUCCUCAGCACUCUCCAUCCCACUGAACAUGUGAGAAAAAGCACAAAGAUCCAUUGCUUGGCUUGGAGAACCAGCUGAGUUGUGAAUUUGCUGCCAGGGUGACUCGGGCUAGGGAUCAUCAGGCCUUCGAGGACACUUGGAACCAGGAGGACAGAGAGCCGUGCUCCUAAUCCAUUCCCUGGAGACAUGUGACUCAUUGGAAGCUGAAGUAGUAAGAAACAUCUGGGCCAGGAAUCUGAAUCAUCACAGGCAGAGAAGAAAGUCAUAAAGAUUUUACCGAUGAGUCAUCUGCUGACUGCUUCUCAUCCCAAGAAGAAAACUCAACGUACAGGAUAAAACUUCCAAAAAGAAAAUGAUGACAUAUUGAAGUGUUAAAAGGUGCCUACUUGAGCAGUCAAAUUGUUACCGGUAAGGUGUAACUACUUGAUGUACAGUUUCCACACCCUGCCCGGCCCCCCUGUAAACCACCUCAGCUUCUCCUUCUUCAGACAAGUCGGGGCACCGGCAGAGACGGUGCAACCUCUGGGACCAUCACUAGCACAACAGAGGUGGGUGUCCUGGGUCUGGGCCACCUACUCCAACAGAAGUGAGCUGAUCACGGCAGCUCAGUGGGCACCCCAUGGUCAAGGGCUGCAUCUCUAGGACUCGGUCCCCUCCCAGGGCUGCUUUUCAGGGAGCGUGGAACUCUCACUGCAGGUGGCAUGGUCUUGCUCCAGAGUCCCAUACACCUCCCUUAGGUCACCAUAAACUGACCUAGUUAACACCUCCAACAUCAAAGGGUGCAGUGGAUCAGUACCCACAAGCCUUGACCCCACUGUAUCCUAGACCUGUCACAGGGUCCUUUCCAACUCUGGUACCCACCCGAUGCUGACUGUCUUCUAUAUAACCGGGAAACGUGGGCUGGAGCAGCAUUCCCACCUAUAGUGGGUGUCACCUCCAGAGCCCACCUAGACCUACUAGGAAUCAGGCCUCCUUCAUGGUACAGGAACGCAAGAGGUGACGUUCCACCAAGUUCCUGACCACUGGGCCCUGAGAACUUCACCGAAGUGGCAAAUCCCUGAAACCUAUCAGCUUCACCUCCCGCACUCGGGGAGUGAUCUCGCGUCUUCCCAACCAUCACCCGAGAGAGAUUUGCCUUGGCUGGACAUCUAAAUACCUCGGGAGCUUCUGGAACGCUACUUAACUGAGUUCUGAGUCUGUUUCUCAGCUGUUCACUGUUCCACAGGAGACCAGAGCCUCCUUUUAAACUGCCAGAGAGUUCACCUGUUCCCUCCCUCAGAUCCUCGACCCCCUGCAGAGCGUCAACACAGCAGUCCCCUCAGCUGUCCCUCAGCUGUCCUCUGCUGCCCCUGCUCACCACACGCAAGUGAGUUCUGACUGCCACCCUGCCUGGGGGACCAUCAUUCCUCUCAGGGUGCAGCUCUCUUUGCCUUCCCCAGGCCCCAUCUUAGCACCCGAUUUGUCAGCUCACAUUUGGUGUCCACUGUGGCCACUCAGGCGCACCCAGAAGCAGAAGCUGAGCCAGGAUGGCCCGAGGAAGAUGGGAGGGGACACUCCAGGGAGAGACACGCAGCGGGGAGCGGGUCGGCGGGGGCUUCUGACCACAGCAAGAGCGGGCACCUGGACGCGAGGAGCAGGAAGUGUGCAAUCCCCAUUCAGACUGGCACUGCAGUGCUCCCAUUUCCAUGUCAUCUGCUCAUGAGUUAUUAGAAGAACUGGAAGUUGUAUGUAAAAGAGCCUCAUUCAGGCUCUGUAAAGAGUGAGUCUUUAGCAAUUGUUAGGCGUUCGUGGCAAAGAAUAGGGAAAUAAUAAAGCAGAGGCCCUCAGUGCUGUUCACAGAAAUGUGGGGCCCUUGCUUCCUGUGUAGACACUGGGCUACCCCGCUGCAUUUACAGCAGCCCCUAUUUCUGUAAAGUCAGGGUUAACCAGCCUGUAUUUUAAGUAGCAUAAGACAGAAAGCAGCAUGCACUUAUCUCCUGUAGACACAGCCCCAAAAUGCGUUCUGUUUUAUAACUGUCAUUACUAAGGUGCAUGUCUCCUACUCUUUCUUCUGAAGGAAGAAAAAUAGAGCUUGUAAAAGGAGGUUGGGUGAAGUCAACAUGGGCUGCUAUGUGCCCAGUACUACUGUAGACAUUUUACAAAUGCUUUUUCACUUUGUUCUCAAAAGUCUUGGGAGUAGGGAUUAUCAUCCACAUUUUACAGUGGGAAAUUUGGGGCUUCUAAAGGUUUAACAGCAUGUCCGCAGUAACCCGAUUCAUUAUCAGAAUUGAUCACUCAGUGAUUCUGGAAUCACAUAUAUUUCAUUUUUUAAGAACCUCAUCUGUAGACUAGUUUGUGAAUUAAAGAAUUCUUGAGUUGAAAUUUUAUUUACAACAUAAAAAUAAUUCUUUUUUCCUAUUAUAAACUUAAAGUCAUAGUUUUGUUCUGACCUUGUUAAUACCACAUUGCUCUAAAUAGUUGUUAAGAGAUCUAUUUCUCCCAUUGUUGAUGGCUUGAGGGUCGCUAUCAGGUCUAAUUCAUCUCAUCCCUCAUUAACGAGAGUAAGGCUGAAUGUUGUGUGUACUUACAGACGUUGAACCAAAUAAGAAAAUAAAAACAGCUCAGUUAAUUUUUCUGCUAAUUCUCCAGUUACUCUAAUAGACAAAUCAGAAUCCUAGACAGGAAAACAAUCAUUUUCUUGGUUUUAUGAGACUCACAUCAGAGUGGAAAGGUCUCUUAAAAGCCUUAAAAACUCUGUUGAGAACCCAAUCUUUUAAGUUUUUUUUCUUAGCAAAAACUAUGUGUAGUUUAAAGGAACUAACAAGGAAUCCUCACGUUAGGAUUUUCCCACUAUUCAGAGAAAUGACCAAUAAGAAGCAUCAGUGUAGAGCGCAGGUAAUUUGGAAAACAUCAUGGUGGGUGAGUUGGGAAAAAUGACCUUGACCAUGACCUUCAAAUUACAAGGAGGUGAGAGGACAGGCUUCAGAGCGGGAUCAGCCUCCUUAGUCGGAAUCCUGUUGGUGACACUGAGAUGUACGACCUUGGACACAUUACCUAAACUCUCUAACUAUGACUUCCUUGUGUGUGAAACAGAGAUAGUAAUAGUGUUGUUGUGAGAAUUCAAAGCAAGAGUGAAUGCAAAGCAGUUAGCCCAUG